AGUUUGAUUAUCGCUCAGAUUGAACGCUGGCGGCAGGGCCUAACACAUGCAAGUCGAGCGGAAACGAGUUAUCUGAACCUUCGGGGAACGAUAACGCCGACGAGCGGCGGACGGGUGAGUAAUGCCUAGGAAAUUGCCCUGAUGUGGGGGAUAACCAUUGGAAACGAUGGCUAAUACCGCAUGAUGCCUACGGGCCAAAGAGGGGGACCUUCGGGCCUCUCGCGUCAGGAUAUGCCUAGGUGGGAUUAGCUAGUUGGUGAGGUAAGGGCUCACCAAGGCAACGAUCCCUAGCUGGUCUGAGAGAUGAUCAGCCACACUGAACUGAGACACGG
This 332-nucleotide ribosomal RNA is filed under the name Vibrio sp. M11. RNAcentral describes it as "bacterial SSU rRNA". It matches the Rfam family "Bacterial small subunit ribosomal RNA", at positions 10 to 329 of the family's 1533-position model. The record is from RNAcentral. Lineage: Bacteria; Pseudomonadati; Pseudomonadota; Gammaproteobacteria; Vibrionales; Vibrionaceae.